This 678-nucleotide ribosomal RNA is filed under the name Enterobacter sp. DDC86. RNAcentral describes it as "bacterial SSU rRNA". It matches the Rfam family "Bacterial small subunit ribosomal RNA", at positions 816 to 1496 of the family's 1533-position model. Lineage: Bacteria; Pseudomonadati; Pseudomonadota; Gammaproteobacteria; Enterobacterales; Enterobacteriaceae. The record is from RNAcentral.
CUUGGAGGUUGUGCCCUUGAGGCGUGGCUUCCGGAGCUAACGCGUUAAGUCGACCGCCUGGGGAGUACGGCCGCAAGGUUAAAACUCAAAUGAAUUGACGGGGGCCCGCACAAGCGGUGGAGCAUGUGGUUUAAUUCGAUGCAACGCGAAGAACCUUACCUACUCUUGACAUCCAGAGAACUUAGCAGAGAUGCUUUGGUGCCUUCGGGAACUCUGAGACAGGUGCUGCAUGGCUGUCGUCAGCUCGUGUUGUGAAAUGUUGGGUUAAGUCCCGCAACGAGCGCAACCCUUAUCCUUUGUUGCCAGCGGUUCGGCCGGGAACUCAAAGGAGACUGCCAGUGAUAAACUGGAGGAAGGUGGGGAUGACGUCAAGUCAUCAUGGCCCUUACGAGUAGGGCUACACACGUGCUACAAUGGCGCAUACAAAGAGAAGCGACCUCGCGAGAGCAAGCGGACCUCAUAAAGUGCGUCGUAGUCCGGAUUGGAGUCUGCAACUCGACUCCAUGAAGUCGGAAUCGCUAGUAAUCGUAGAUCAGAAUGCUACGGUGAAUACGUUCCCGGGCCUUGUACACACCGCCCGUCACACCAUGGGAGUGGGUUGCAAAAGAAGUAGGUAGCUUAACCUUCGGGAGGGCGCUUACCACUUUGUGAUUCAUGACUGGGGUGAAGUCGUAAAGG